AGGACGAACGCUGGCGGCGUGCCUAACACAUGCAAGUCGAACGAGGUCCAACCGGUAGCAAUACCGGUGAAGACCAAGUGGCGAACGGGUGAGUAGCACGUGAGCAACCUGCCCCGAAGACCGGGACAACACCGGGAAACCGGUGCUAAUACCGGAUAUCCCCACCGAGUCGCAUGGCUUGGUGAGGAAAUGGAUUCCGCUUCGGGAGGGGCUCGCGGCCUAUCAGCUUGUUGGUGAGGUAACGGCUCACCAAGGCUUCGACGGGUAGCUGGUCUGAGAGGACGAUCAGCCACACUGGGACUGAGACACGGCCCAGACUCCUACGGGAGGCAGCAGUGGGGAAUCUUGCACAAUGGGCGAAAGCCUGAUGCAGCAACGCCGCGUGAGGGACGAAGGCUUUCUGAGUUGUAAACCUCUUUCAGCAGGGACGAUUGUGACGGUACCUGCAGAAGAAGCCCCGGCAACUACGUGCCAGCAGCCGCGGU
RNAcentral lists this ribosomal RNA (485 nucleotides) under uncultured bacterium. RNAcentral describes it as "SSU rRNA". It matches the Rfam family "Bacterial small subunit ribosomal RNA", at positions 26 to 521 of the family's 1533-position model. The record is from RNAcentral.